GGUAGCGUGGCCGAGCGGUUUAAGGCGCUGGUUGAAGUCACCUAUCUACUCGGAGGCGUGGGUUCGAAUUCCACCGCUGCCA
This 82-nucleotide transfer RNA is filed under the name Araneus ventricosus. It matches the Rfam family "tRNA". From Rfam's summary of the family: Transfer RNA (tRNA) molecules are approximately 80 nucleotides in length. Their secondary structure includes four short double-helical elements and three loops (D, anti-codon, and T loops). Lineage: Eukaryota; Metazoa; Arthropoda; Arachnida; Araneae; Araneidae. The record is from Rfam by way of RNAcentral.